This is a long non-coding RNA of Hippocampus comes (tiger tail seahorse), 220 nucleotides long. RefSeq lists it as uncharacterized. Lineage: Eukaryota; Metazoa; Chordata; Actinopteri; Syngnathiformes; Syngnathidae. The record is from RefSeq and is a predicted model, not a curated record. The transcript has 2 exons.
AAAUAGCCCAGUUUUAGUGCUUCCUUCUCACGGGAACGCAUUUUGUUUGAUCAAGACAUCAGGCUUUCCUGCAACGAUCCGUGUUUCAAUGGAGUUGUGACUCUGUAUGCGCUUGUGCAUGAAGGAGAGUGCACUGUGUUAUUUCUAUUCAAACAUUUUCCAUCUUAUUCAUCCGACACCAAUCAAACAUCCAAAUAAACUACCAUGUACAUCUCUAAAU